This 291-nucleotide ribosomal RNA is filed under the name uncultured Atopobium sp. Its description in RNAcentral is "partial 16S ribosomal RNA". It matches the Rfam family "Bacterial small subunit ribosomal RNA", at positions 226 to 525 of the family's 1533-position model. The record is from RNAcentral. Lineage: Bacteria; Bacillati; Actinomycetota; Coriobacteriia; Coriobacteriales; Atopobiaceae.
UGGGCCCGCGGCCUGGUUAGCUAGUUGGUGGGGUAGUGGCCUACCAAGGCAAUGAUGGGUAGCCGGGUUGAGAGACCGACCGGCCAGAUUGGGACUGAGACACGGCCCAGACUCCUACGGGAGGCAGCAGUUGGGGAAUCUUGCACAAUGGGCGAAAGCCUGAUGCAGCGACGCCGCGUGCGGGAUGAAGGCCUUCGGGUUGUAAACCGCUUUCAGCAGGGACGAGGCCGCAAGGUGACGGUACCUGCAGAAGAAGCCCCGGCUAACUACGUGCCAGCAGCCGCGGUAAAU